UUUGGCAUUUCUCAUUUCUGGCUUUGGGGUUUGGUGUCGUGUCGUCGUCCCCUGCCCUCGCCCCUUAAAUUCGUUGGGGUUUGUUUGUUUGUUUUAAACGAGUAGGAGGGAAGCAGAAUAAAAUGUUCAGUGUUGUGUGCCGUGGUGAAAAUCCUCUGUGUUUUAAAAAGUUUAGGGCUUAAACUUGCCGAAGGAUUUGAAUACAUUGGCAUCUGUGAGUCGUCUACAGGAAAGUGCUGGAGGUUCAUUUUUGUUGGACUGGUUGUCAUUAUAAACGAAUUUAAAUGCCGUAUUGAGAUUCAGCUUAAGAGUAUUGAGAAAUUUUGGCUGGGUGAAAAUAGGGUUAGUACAUUUGGGUUUGAGGAAGGUAAGCUCUAGAGCUUUUUUCAUCUUCUGCCUGUAAAAGGGUAAAAGUUUCAAACAGAUAGUGUGGAGGUAGAAACAUGCAUGUAAGUGUAAAUAUUUGAGUACUGAAAGAUGAAAAUGUGCAUGCGAACCAGGCAAAUCUAAUAAUCUUGAUCAGAUCCUUACUUGCUGUAAAAUAACUUUAUGAAAUUAAAGGAGACUUGUUAAGAGGAUCUUUCAGGUUCUACAGUUAAUUGUCAUGAGAAAUCAGUUUUGUGGUCAUGGGACAGGUGUUUGUUUUACCAGACAGUUGUAUAUACUUGUAAGAUGUAAGAUGUUCUAUAUGGUAAAAUAAGCAAGAUGCUUUGGUGUUCUUGUUUUUAGACAUGACCUAUCAAGUGACUUCCUUUAAAUGUUUUUUUGUUUCUUUGUUUUUAUUCAGUAGAGAGCAUUUAAUUGCUGAGAAGUCUGGCUGUUUCUUUCCCUACAACAUGAUCUAUUUCAUCAGUCUCUCUCUAAAGAGUAAAAUAAAAGGUUUGGUGAUUGUGCACCCUCAGUUGCCAGUUGAAUUCUUUGUCAAGUGACAGCUAACAGGGAAGCCAGUAGUAAGGCCUGAAUUUUUUGGUGCCUUGGAGUUGUGCUGUGGUGUAUAUCUACUUCUGAGGCUGCUUUUGUUGUAGCUACUUUUGAUAGUAAUUCCUUCUUAACUUGCAAAGAAAUAUGUCCACUUGUAGGCCUUUGGUUGAGGUGUGUCUGAGUAAGCAAGAAACAGGCUUAGGUCACUCUUGGCAUUUUUAUGUAUUAAUGAGGAAACAGUGUCUGCAAUCUGCUAUUACAGUCACUUGCCCUAAAGGUCAAGAGGUCUUUGGUGCGCCAUUCGAAUUGUGGCACACAAACUGGCAAAAAGAACAGGAAAAGAGCUGUUUCAAACCUUAGAGCCGAGACUUCUGCUUUGAAAAAAGGCUGUGUCUAGGCUUCUUGAAACUUCUGUUUCACAGUUGUCCGUGAGCAGCUUGAUGCUUUCCAAUGGUCGCUAAUUUUUGGCUCUUUGAGGUAGGGGGCUAUCUUCCCCAUGUGUUAAAAAUAAAUGGGAGAGGGCAACCUGAGAUACAGAGGUGGCUCUCUUGAAGCAAGUGGGCAGCAGGUGGCAGAGCCAAAAAGAGAAGGCUGACCUCUGGACUUCUGUCCUAGUUUUUUGACACAAGUGUUAGAACUCAAAGUAUGACAAAAGUGAUUUAUUCUUCUUCCCCUCCCCUUCCCCUGAAUUGAGUCUCUUGGCUCUGACUCCUAAUUCCCUCCAGGUCUUUUUAUGUAGGUACUGUAAACUAGAAGAGCAUAAGUCUUGUUUACUGUGCUUCAGUGGAUCUGCAGGUACUGUGGGAACUGGAACUUCAAAUGGUGGUAUUAGCAAGUAAAAGCUGCCAAUUUAACCCCUACAAUACUGAUCAAGCCAGGAUAUUUCCCUUACUCAACAAGAGCUUACAGUAGAUUGUGCGUUUGGAUGCUCAAGAAUUCUGUUAAGGGGAAGAUCUAGAGAGAGAAGGCAGAGGAAAGAGGAAACGUCCUCCUGGAGAGCUGAGGGAGAAUGUCUGCUUAGGAACUGCAUGGGUCUCCACGAGUUUCCUAGACUAAAUUCCACAGCUUGAUUAGAAGUCUGCCCUGGAAUUCCUCACUGAGAUGAUUUUCUGAUUGUCUGCAGUAUGAAUUUGUAGAACUGUCAAAGUUAAGCAUUUGCUGCAGCAUCCUAGGAGUGGUCUACCUGUGAUACUGAGCAGUGCUUGAAAUGAAAGGAAGAUGUAUUUUACUCGGUAGCUUUUCUGUUUCAUAAAGUGACAGGCAAGCUUUGUCCAAGUCUGUCCUUCAUGAUUUCUGGUAGUGACCCAUAUUGGAACUUAAAUGGUUAAUCAGAUUAUUUUAAGAGAGGCACUUCAGGGUGGAGUCAUCCCUGUCAGAAACAUUGCUGCUUAUUCCUGAGAACUGUCUAAUUAUUGAACUUGUUCAGGCUGUGUACCUUCACAUUCCCAUUUUGUUAUGCCAGCAGCAGUGUCUCCAUUGUGGAGUCUUAUUUCUGUUUUUCUCAGGUUUCCUUUUUAUUUAACAGCAGUAUUCCAAUUAAUCAAGUUCAAUAAGCCAGUGUCCUUUACAAAGUAUUUGUAUUUUUCCUGGUCCUGUUCCGCAUGUUUUUUGAAAUGGUAUCAAAACAGUGGCCUUACCUAGAGGAGUGUGUUUAUUGAUUGUGACUUUAGGUAAGUGUCUUUCCAUGCAACUUGUAGUUUCAGUUUGGUACCUUAUCAGACUUUUGUCAUAGUAUUCCAAAGGGUAUGUUAGAAUUAUUCAAUCUUUUCCUUGUUACUGCAGGAGAAAGGACUGAUUUGGAUUGCUGUAAGCAUCUUGUAUUUUCUGUAUAAUCUCUUCAGAGAGAAACUGGAUAUUAAUAUAUCUCCACCCGUACACAAGACUACUAUUGAAAUUCUGUGUCCUCAAGUAGCACUUGCAGGUAGAACAGGGUUUGUGCCAGCUCUGAGCGGGAGCAGAUUUUGCCCCAAACAGGGGGCUCUGAUGUGCAGGGGUAUCCUUCACACAUUAACAAUUCAAUUCAGCUGGUAUGGCUGACUCCAGUAUACUCUUGCUUCUCUGUUGGAAAGAAGUAUCUUCUGCUUUCACUGAAAAAUACCCUGCUGCUAAAUCGGACUUAGAAGCUGCUAUGAAAGGCUUGAAAAGGUUGCUGUCUACAGAUAACUGCAAUUGAUGGGAGAAGACUUUAUUUUCCCUUCUAAACCAGAAUCGAUGAAAAGAUAUUACCUAUGAAGCUUUUGACAAGUUGGGUAUGUACAGGAAGUGAGUGUUUUAGAACGUGCAAUAGUUCUUCAAAGGUGUAAGACUUUAAUAUUAAAAGCACUCCUCGCUAAUUCCUAGACAGCUGAUAACCUUUUAAAAAGGUUAUUUGUACACAGAACUAACCACACAAUGAAUGAGGCGUUCAGUUCAAACCACAGAUUUUUUUUUUUUUAGAUCACUAGACAUUCUGUAGUGAGGUCAAGACCUUUGUCUUGCAGCAUAUGGAUACCAGGACUAAAGAAAAGCAUACACAGCUUUAUCUUCACAAUAUUUACUUUUCUAACUUGAAGUAGACAUACUUGGUGUUUUAAAAAAAGGCACUCAAGUAACUAUUUUCAAAUAUAACUUAGGCAGUAGAAAUUGAGAAGUUUAGUCUUGUUUUAUUUAGCAAACCAAAAUUAAGCAAACAAACAAACAAAAAUACUAGAGGAGUUAGGAUUUUAACUUCUCUUUGUAUGCCAAGACUGUAAUUGGAGAAAGAAUAUUGCAAAAAGGAGUAGGGGGAAACUUUUGUGUCUGGAAGACACAAGACCUUACUUUCUGACACCACAGCUUAAUUGUGCUGUGUGUGAAAGGCUGUAACCAGUACUUCAGGACUUUGCAGGCAGUUGUUCUGUCCCCUCCAUAAUGUAUGAAGUGCUCCUAAAAUAUCCUUGAAAGCCACAAUGGCGGGCUUCAAAUAUAAAUACUAGCUUAUGUUGAGGUUUUAAUGUACAGGAAAUUGCACUUAUUUGAAAUGGGUUACUCAUGUGAGUUAAUGAUACAAUAGUUUCUGAACUGGGACUGUUGUGGACCUCAGAAGAGCUCUCCCUGCACUUUGAUAAUUAAAAGAAGUUGUAUAAAAAGAAUUAUAUUCUUUUUACUCAGCAUGCUUCCUCAUGUUAACUGUUCAGGAGGUUUUUGUAAAAGACUGGAAGAUACCUGGUAAUUUUUGUAUGUUUCUUCAUCUUCACUAGUUUUUCAGAGACUAACUUAGAGUAGGGCUACUUUGUAACAGGGAUUUGCUGGUAUGUGAUGGUUGCCUUUGAUUUGUGUUGCCAGUGAAAUUUACUUUGUGUCAAAAUUGGAGUAGUGGUAGUUGGCCUUGCCAGAGAGCUUUCUUAUGCUACAAGAAGCAAGAGAAUGUACUGCUAAUCUUGAUCCCCCCCCCCCCCCCCUUGGGGGGCUGGGGGUGGAGGGGUGAUGGGUG
Harpia harpyja (harpy eagle) is the source of this 4372-nucleotide long non-coding RNA. RefSeq lists it as uncharacterized. Lineage: Eukaryota; Metazoa; Chordata; Aves; Accipitriformes; Accipitridae. The record is from RefSeq and is a predicted model, not a curated record. The transcript has 3 exons.